Molecule: transfer RNA, 78 nt
Filed under: Sphaerodactylus townsendi
Lineage: Eukaryota; Metazoa; Chordata; Lepidosauria; Squamata; Sphaerodactylidae
Description: tRNA-Pro
Rfam family: tRNA
About the family: Transfer RNA (tRNA) molecules are approximately 80 nucleotides in length. Their secondary structure includes four short double-helical elements and three loops (D, anti-codon, and T loops). Further hydrogen bonds mediate the characteristic L-shaped molecular structure. tRNAs have two regions of fundamental functional importance: the anti-codon, which is responsible for specific mRNA codon recognition, and the 3' end, to which the tRNAs corresponding amino acid is attached (by aminoacyl-tRNA synthetases). tRNAs cope with the degeneracy of the genetic code in two manners: having more than one tRNA (with a specific anti-codon) for a particular amino acid; and 'wobble' base-pairing, i.e. permitting non-standard base-pairing at the 3rd anti-codon position.
Source: RNAcentral
GGGGGUGGGGGCAUGGCUCAGUGGUAAAACAUCUGCUUGGGAUGCAGAAGGUUGCAGGUUCAAUCCCUGGCAUCUUCA